GACGAACGCUGGCGGCGUGCUUAACACAUGCAAGUCGAACGAUGAAGCCUAGCUUGCUAGGUGGAUUAGUGGCGAACGGGUGAGUAAUACGUGAGUGACCUACCUUUGACUCUGGGAUAAGCCUGGGAAACUGGGUCUAAUACCGGAUACGACCAAUCUCCGCAUGGGGUGUUGGUGGAAAGCGUUAUGGAGUGGUUUUAGAUGGGCUCACGGCCUAUCAGCUUGUUGGUGAGGUAAUGGCUUACCAAGGCGACGACGGGUAGCCGGCCUGAGAGGGUGACCGGCCACACUGGGACUGAGACACGGCCCAAACUCCUACGGGAGGCAGCAGUGGGGAAUAUUGCACAAUGGGCGCAAGCCUGAUGCAGCGACGCCGCGUGAGGGAUGACGGCCUUCGGGUUGUAAACCUCUGUUAGCAUCGAAGAAGCAAAAGCGACGGUAGGUGCAGAGAAAGCGCCGGCUAACUACGUGCCCACCGCCGCGGUAAUACGUAGGGCGCGAGCGUUGUCCGGAAUUAUUGGGCGUAAAGAGCUUGUAGGCGGUUGGUCGCGUCUGCUGUGAAAGGCUGGGGCUUUCCCUGGUUUUGCAGUGGGUACGGGCUAACUAGAGUGCAGUAGGGGAGACUGGAAUUCCUGGUGUAGCGGUGGAAUGCGCAGAUAUCAGGAGGAACACCGAUGGCGAAGGCAGGUCUCUGGGCUGUAACUGACGCUGAGAAGCGAAAGCAUGGGGAGCGAACAGGAUUAGAUACCCUGGUAGUCCAUGCCGUAAACGUUGGGCACUAGGUGUGGGGGACAUUCCACGUUUUCCGCGCCGUAGCUAACGCAUUAAGUGCCCCGCCUGGGGAGUACGGCCGCAAGGCUAAAACUCAAAGAAAUUGACGGGGGCCCGCACAAGCGGCGGAGCAUGCGGAUUAAUUCGAUGCAACGCGAAGAACCUUACCAAGGCUUGACAUAUACUGGACUGCGUCAGAGAUGGCGUUUCCCUUCGGGGCUGGUAUACAGGUGGUGCAUGGUUGUCGUCAGCUCGUGUCGUGAGAUGUUGGGUUAAGUCCCGCAACGAGCGCAACCCUCGUUCUAUGUUGCCAGCACGUGAUGGUGGGGACUCAUAGGAGACUGCCGGGGUCAACUCGGAGGAAGGUGGGGAUGACGUCAAAUCAUCAUGCCCCUUAUGUCUUGGGCUUCACGCAUGCUACAAUGGCCGGUACAGAGGGUUGCGAUACUGUGAGGUGGAGCUAAUCCCUAAAAGCCGGUCUCAGUUCGGAUUGGGGUCUGUAACUCGACCCCAUGAAGUCGGAGUCGCUAGUAAUCGCAGAUCAGCAACGCUGCGGUGAAUACGUUCCCGGGCCU
RNAcentral lists this ribosomal RNA (1346 nucleotides) under uncultured bacterium. RNAcentral describes it as "bacterial SSU rRNA". It matches the Rfam family "Bacterial small subunit ribosomal RNA", at positions 28 to 1381 of the family's 1533-position model. The record is from RNAcentral.